RNAcentral lists this ribosomal RNA (442 nucleotides) under uncultured soil bacterium. Its description in RNAcentral is "bacterial SSU rRNA". It matches the Rfam family "Bacterial small subunit ribosomal RNA", at positions 26 to 518 of the family's 1533-position model. The record is from RNAcentral.
AGAACGAACGCUGGCGGCAUGCCUAACACAUGCAAGUCGAACGAACCCUUCGGGGUUAGUGGCGCACGGGUGCGUAACGCGUGGGAACCUACCAUCAGGUUCGGAAUAACAGUUAGAAAUGACUGCUAAUACCGGAUAAUGUCUUCGGACCAAAGAUUUAUCGCCUUUUGAUGGGCCCGCGUUGGAUUAGCUAGUUGGUAAGGUAAAAGCUUACCAAGGCGACGAUCCAUAGCUGGUCUGAGAGGAUGAUCAGCCACACUGGGACUGAGACACGGCCCAGACUCCUACGGGAGGCAGCAGUGGGGAAUAUUGGACAAGUGGGCGAAAGCCUGAUCCAGCAAUGCCGCGUGAGUGAUGAAGGUCCUUAGGGUUGUAAGCUUCUUUACGUGGGAUGUAUAAUGACAGUACCAGAGAAUAGCUCGCUACUCGUGCCAGCAGCCGC